Ictalurus punctatus (channel catfish) is the source of this 367-nucleotide long non-coding RNA. NCBI's taxonomy places the organism in Eukaryota, Metazoa, Chordata, Actinopteri, Siluriformes, Ictaluridae. The record is from Ensembl.
AGUGGCUGUCGAUCUCCGAGACGGAAAUUCGUCUCUUGGUUACAGUAAGGGAGGUUCGACCUCUGUGCCUGUCAGUCUGAAUGAUGGAGGUGUGGCAGCUGCAUCGCCUGGUUUUGAUGAAGGAGGUGUGGCCUCUGCAUCUCUUGGUUUUGAUGAAGGAGGUGUGUUCUCUGCGUCUCUUGGUUUUGAUGAAGGAGGUGUGGCCUCUGCAUCUCUUGGUUUUGAUGAAGGAGGUGUGGCCUCUGCGUCUCUUGGUUUUGAUGAAGGUGUGGCCUAUGUGCCUGUCAGUCUCAAUGAUGGAGGUGUGGCCUCUGCGUCUCUUGGUUUGAUGAAGAAGGUGUGGCCUAUGUGCCUGUCAGUCUCAAUG